AGUGAACGCUGGCGGCAGGCCUAACACAUGCAAGUCGAGCGGCAGCGCGGGGACAACCCUGGCGGCGAGUGGCGGACGGGUGAGGAAUUCGUCGGAAGCUGCCUUUUUGUUGGGGAUAAGGUAAGUAAACUUACGCUAAUAUCGCAUCCGUCCUACUGUUGAAAGGGGGGGUCCAAAAGGCCACAAGCGGAAAGAUGAGCCUACGACAGAUUAGCUAGUUGGAGUGGUAAAGGCCCACCAAGGCGACGAUCGGUAGCUGGUCUGAGAGGAUGAUCAGCCACACUGGGACUGAGACACGGCCCAGACUCCUACGGGAGGCAGCAGUGGGGAAUAUUGGACAAUGGGCGCAAGCCUGAUCCAGCCAUGCCGCGUGAGUGAAGAAGGCCUUCGGGUUGUAAAGCACUUUUGUCAGGAAAGAAAUCCCUGGUGCUAAUACCUUCGGGGGAUGACGGUACCGGAAGAAUAAGCACCGGCUAACUUCGUG
RNAcentral lists this ribosomal RNA (484 nucleotides) under uncultured bacterium. RNAcentral describes it as "partial 16S ribosomal RNA". It matches the Rfam family "Bacterial small subunit ribosomal RNA", at positions 29 to 507 of the family's 1533-position model. The record is from RNAcentral.